This 1356-nucleotide ribosomal RNA is filed under the name Enterobacter cloacae. Its description in RNAcentral is "bacterial SSU rRNA". It matches the Rfam family "Bacterial small subunit ribosomal RNA". The record is from RNAcentral. Lineage: Bacteria; Pseudomonadati; Pseudomonadota; Gammaproteobacteria; Enterobacterales; Enterobacteriaceae.
GGGGUGAGUAAUUGUGCUUGGGAAACUGCCUGAUGGAGGGGGAUAACUACUGGAAACGGUAGCUAAUACCGCAUAACGUCGCAAGACCAAAGAGGGGGACCUUCGGGCCUCUUGCCAUCAGAUGUGCCCAGAUGGGAUUAGCUAGUAGGUGGGGUAACGGCUCACCUAGGCGACGAUCCCUAGCUGGUCUGAGAGGAUGACCAGCCACACUGGAACUGAGACACGGUCCAGACUCCUACGGGAGGCAGCAGUGGGGAAUAUUGCACAAUGGGCGCAAGCCUGAUGCAGCCAUGCCGCGUGUAUGAAGAAGGCCUUCGGGUUGUAAAGUACUUUCAGCGGGGAGGAAGGUGUUGUGGUUAAUAACCGCAGCAAUUGACGUUACCCGCAGAAGAAGCACCGGCUAACUCCGUGCCAGCAGCCGCGGUAAUACGGAGGGUGCAAGCGUUAAUCGGAAUUACUGGGCGUAAAGCGCACGCAGGCGGUCUGUCAAGUCGGAUGUGAAAUCCCCGGGCUCAACCUGGGAACUGCAUUCGAAACUGGCAGGCUGGAGUCUUGUACAGGGGGGUAGAAUUCCAGGUGUAGCGGUGAAAUGCGUAGAGAUCUGGAGGAAUACCGGUGGCGAAGGCGGCCCCCUGGACAAAGACUGACGCUCAUGUGCGAAAGCGUGGGGAGCAAACAGGAUUAGAUACCCUGGUAGUCCACGCCGUAAACGAUGUCAUUUGGAGGUUGUGCCCUUGAGGCGUGGCUUCCGGAGCUAACGCGUUAAAUCGACCGCCUGGGGAGUACGGCCGCAAGGUUAAAACUCAAAUGAAUUGACGGGGGCCCGCACAAGCGGUGGAGCAUGUGGUUUAAUUCGAUGCAACGCGAAGAACCUUACCUGGUCUUGACAUCCACAGAAUUUUCCACAGAUGGUAUUGGUGCCUUCUGGGAACUGUGAGAACAAGCUGCUGCAUUGCUGUCGUUCAGCUCGUGUUUGUGGAAAUGUUGGGUUAACUCCCGCAACGAACCGCCAACCCUUUAUUCUUUUUGUUGCCAGCGGCUUCCGCCCGUGCACUACAAACGAAGACUGCUAGUGAUAGACUUGCAGGAAGGUGGAGAUGAACUCAAGUCAUCAUGUCCGUAGAUCUACGGGCUACGAACCUGCUUACCAUGGGUGCUAGCUAAUACAACCGAACUUCGCGUAAGAGCAGCGACUCAGUAAAGUUGCUCUCCUCAUCGGAUGAAUCUUGGUACUUGAUCAUUGAAGUCGGAAAUCGCUAGCUAACUGCUAAUCCAAUGGCUACGGUGAAUGAGAUUGCGAACUGAACAAUCGUCGAUCACCCGGAAUGCGGUGCGAAAGUGAUCUAGGUACGAUCA